GUGCCUGCUUUGGCAGCACAUAUACUAAAAUUAGAACUACACAGAGAAGAUUAGGAUGGCCCCUGUGCAAGGAUAGCAUGCAAAUCUGUGAAGCAUUCCAUAUUUAA
Molecule: small nuclear RNA, 107 nt
Filed under: Sciurus vulgaris (Eurasian red squirrel)
Lineage: Eukaryota; Metazoa; Chordata; Mammalia; Rodentia; Sciuridae
Source: RNAcentral